AUUGAACGCUGGCGGCAUGCCUUGCACAUGCAAGUCGAACGGUAACAGGUCUUCGGAUGCUGACGAGUGGCGAACGGGUGAGUAAUACAUCGGAACGUGCCCGAUCGUGGGGGAUAACGAGGCGAAAGCUUUGCUAAUACCGCAUACGAUCUACGGAUGAAAGCGGGGGAUCUUCGGACCUCGCGCGGACGGAGCGGCCGAUGGCAGAUUAGGUAGUUGGUGGGAUAAAAGCUUACCAAGCCGACGAUCUGUAGCUGGUCUGAGAGGAUGAUCAGCCACACUGGGACUGAGACACGGCCCAGACUCCUACGGGAGGCAGCAGUGGGGAAUUUUGGACAAUGGGCGAAAGCCUGAUCCAGCCAUGCCGCGUGCAGGAUGAAGGCCUUCGGGUUGUAAACUGCUUUUGUACGGAACGAAAAGCCUCUUUCUAAUAAAGAGGGGUCAUGACGGUACCGUAAGAAUAAGCACCGGCUAACUACGUG
This 482-nucleotide ribosomal RNA is filed under the name uncultured bacterium. RNAcentral describes it as "partial 16S ribosomal RNA". It matches the Rfam family "Bacterial small subunit ribosomal RNA", at positions 30 to 507 of the family's 1533-position model. The record is from RNAcentral.